This 497-nucleotide ribosomal RNA is filed under the name uncultured bacterium. RNAcentral describes it as "partial 16S ribosomal RNA". It matches the Rfam family "Bacterial small subunit ribosomal RNA", at positions 28 to 507 of the family's 1533-position model. The record is from RNAcentral.
GAUGAACGCUGGCGGCGUGCCUAAUACAUGCAAGUCGAGCGAACAGACGAGGAGCUUGCUCCUCUGACGUUAGCGGCGGACGUGUGAGUAACACGUGGAUAACCUACCUAUAAGACUGGGAUAACUUCGGGAAACCGGAGCUAAUACCGGAUAAUAUAUUGAACCGCAUGGUUCAAUAGUUAAAGACGGUUUUUCUUUCACUUAUAGAUUGAUCCGCGCCGCAUUAGCUAGUUGGUAAGGUAACGGCUUACCAAGGCGACGAUUCGUAGCCGACGUGAGAGGGUGAUAGGACACACUGGAACGGAGACACGGACCAGACUACUACGGGAGGCAGCAGAAGGGAAUAUUCCGCAAUGGGCGAAAGCAUGACGGAGCAAAGCCGCGUGAGUGAUGAAGGUCUUAGGAUCGUAAAACCCUGUUAUUAGGGAAGAAAAAAUGUGUAAGUAACUAUGCACGUAUUGACGGUACCUAAUCAGAAAGCCACGGCUAACUACGUG